AUUGAACGCUGGCGGCAUGCCUUACACAUGCAAGUCGAACGGCAGCGCGGGGCAACCUGGCGGCGAGUGGCGAACGGGUGAGUAAUAUAUCGGAACGUACCCUGGAGUGGGGGAUAACGUAGCGAAAGUUACNNUAAUACCGCAUACGAUCUAAGGAUGAAAGUGGGGGAUCGCAAGACCUCAUGCUCCUGGAGCGGCCGAUAUCUGAUUAGCUAGUUGGUAGGGUAAAAGCCUACCAAGGCAUCGAUCAGUAGCUGGUCUGAGAGGACGACCAGCCACACUGGAACUGAGACACGGUCCAGACUCCUACGGGAGGCAGCAGUGGGGAAUUUUGGACAAUGGGCGCAAGCCUGAUCNAGCAAUGCCGCGUGAGUGAAGAAGGCCUUCGGGUUGUAAAGCUCUUUUGUCAGGGAAGAAACGGGUUUUUCUAAUACAGAGAUCUAAUGACGGUACCUGAAGAAUAAGCACCGGCUAACUACGUGCCAGCAGCCGCGGUAAUACGUAGGGUGCAAGCGUUAAUCGGAAUUACUGGGCGUAAAGCGUGCGCAGGCGGUUUUGUAAGACUGUCGUGAAAUCCCCGGGCUCAACCUGGGAAUGGCGAUGGUGACUGCAAGGCUAGAGUUUGGCAGAGGGGGGUAGAAUUCCACGUGUAGCAGUGAAAUGCGUAGAUAUGUGGAGGAACACCGAUGGCGAAGGCAGCCCCCUGGGUCAAAACUGACGCUCAUGCACGAAAGCGUGGGGAGCAAACAGGAUUAGAUACCCUGGUAGUCCACGCCCUAAACGAUGUCUACUAGUUGUCGGGUUUUAAUUAACUUGGUAACGCAGCUAACGCGUGAAGUAGACCGCCUGGGGAGUACGGUCGCAAGAUUAAAACUCAAAGGANNUGACGGGGACCCGCACAAGCGGUGGAUGAUGUGGAUUAAUUCGAUGCAACGCGAAAAACCUUACCUACCCUUGACAU
RNAcentral lists this ribosomal RNA (961 nucleotides) under uncultured bacterium. RNAcentral's name for it is "bacterial SSU rRNA". It matches the Rfam family "Bacterial small subunit ribosomal RNA", at positions 28 to 987 of the family's 1533-position model. The record is from RNAcentral.